This is an RNA transcript of Aegilops tauschii subsp. strangulata, 2622 nucleotides long. RefSeq lists it as uncharacterized. Lineage: Eukaryota; Viridiplantae; Streptophyta; Magnoliopsida; Poales; Poaceae. The record is from RefSeq and is a predicted model, not a curated record.
UAACUGCAUGCAACAUGUUGUGAUGAAAUGACAUUUGUGGAGCUCUGGACAAAAGAAAACAAAAUCGAUGAUUCAAAAAAACUAUUGUUGGAAGCAUUUUGGAUCAUCAAUUUUAUUUUUUACAGACCUCCAGCAAUGUCGUUUCAUUAGAAAACCUUUGCAGGAAGUUAAAACAUUAAUCACAAAAAAAAAUCAGUUUUUUGAAUUUUUACUAGUUUUCUGUUUCUUUACUGUUUUUUAGGGUGCAUGCGAGCUCCGGUAAAAGGGCACUUUUGUAAAAUAGCAGACACCUCAAUCUCUCUGAUUCCUCCCCAAAUCAGCCGCCCCUACCUCACUCUCUUCCCCACCCGCCGCCGCCUACAGAAGGCCCAGCUCCGGCACCACCCCCCACCUAUCUCUCUCUCCCCGCGCCGCCUCCGUCCUCCCCUCCCGCGGGCCGGCCUCCUCUCGGCACGCGCAGCUCGGCGACUCUUCAUCCGGUUAAGUGAAGCGGCUCGAGCGCGCAGCCAUGGCCGCCCCUGUUCUGCCGCCUGCAAAGAGGAAGAAGGAGGGUCCGCCUCGUCUGGAAACCUCGCCGCUCCUUCCGGUCGCAGCCGCAGGCUGGUCCGCGCUCCCGCCCGACCUCGUCCGCCACGUCGCGGACUCCCUCCUGGCCACUAACGACCUCGACUUCUACAUGGACUUCCGCGCAGUCUGCUCCGGUUGGCGCGCCGCCACCGAUGACCCCAGGAGCGACGCCACCGACCCCCGCUUCCGCCCGCGCCGCUGGAUCGUCCUCGACGAGGUCUUCCAGAGCCAAGGAAAGAUGCUCCUGUUGAACACCGACUCCGGCCGCUUUCUCCACAGAGAACUCCCGCUGCUCAACGACCACCACGUCGUGGCAACCACUCGCAAUGGCUACCUGGUCCUGGCGGACAAAAGCCCUCCUCACGCGGUCAACGUCCUCAACCCUCUCACCCGCGUUGUCAUCCGUUUCGUGGCGCCGGUGCCCCCCAAGGUGGGAUCCGCCGCUGUCGUCUUCUUUGACGACUCUUCUCCCACGCUCACCUUGUUCUGCGAUUCAUCUCACAAUGUUUACACGGCUGACCUCAGCGAUAUUGGUUUUGACGUCCUAGAGGGUCCCGGACCGGAAGCAGAGUAUGAUUUCUUCCGUAAGACGGUCCUGGCUGGUGUUUACGCAGACAUAGAGCCGGCAUUUCAUGGUGUGCUUGAUGAUUUAUGCAGUUUGCUCAUGUCUGGUGAUGUUGCCAAGUUUUUCCCCGGCGGUCUUCCAGAUGCAACCGACCUCAAAUGGUUUCCAGUGGGUUUGGGUAAACAUAUGCUGCUUGUUGUGAAUGCAGAGGGAUCGAUCUUUGUUUUAAAAAAGAACAUUCAGAUAGGUAAGCUUGUGGCUUUGGACAGCAUCAGCAACUAUGCCAUCUUCAUGGGUCUUCAGAGGUGCCUGGCUGUCGAUGCUGAGAAGUUCCCAGGCAUCGAGGCAAACUGUGUCUACUACAUUGAAAAUCUGGGUUCGUCAGCUCACAUCUGCAAGUGCAACAUCAAGAACAGGAAAGUAGAGAGGAUCUCUGAAGCUGCCGAUUUCGUGAAGCACGGCAAGCAGUUUGUCCUGGUUGCUGACCGUCCUUUGACGAUCAUCCACCUUCUCUCCAGCUACACCAUCAACAUCCCUGAUUCUCAAAUGGCCUUACAACAGAUUCCAUAAGGCGCUGGCAGAUGUUCAACUUUGGGGAGAUUGAUCUCGAUGACUGACAGACAAAGGCUAUGGUUUUGCUAACUUAUCAUUGCUGCGAAGAACUUAAGAUGUUCCCAGCUUGUCUUCAGUGCUGUUUCAACUGGGCGUUUGGUGCAACUGAUCCGUAAUCACCAUAUAAGAGAACUAGACUCAAUACCAAUAGCUCAAAAUGUCGGUGUAAUGCUGCAACAGUAAGCAAAGAACAGCAGUUGAAAGUACAUGCACAACUACUAGUUGUCAGCCUAACCUUUACAAUUUCUUCUUCAUCUCGAACUGCAGUGAAAUAUCGGUUUGCUCUCUGAGAAAAGACUGCCCCGGUUGAGUUUUUGCGCAGCUGCAGCUUAUUACCAUUCAGCAAUGUAUUAGCUUUUUGUUUACUGUACCAGCAGUGAGCUUGGGGUGGUUGGAUCCUGGUAAGUUGAAUCUUGCAUUGUGUCAUUGAGAUCAUCAAUUCCUUCAGUUAGGAUAUCAGUUGUUUUUCUUUUAAAAAAUGAAUCAGUAUGUUCAGUUACUAGAUGAUUACUGGUACAACACUAAAUUGGUCGUUUUGUUCUGUACCUGUGAACCCUCUUUUGUUUCAGAUGGUACUUAUGAUACUCUGAAUGAAUGCCUCUUGUGCCGCUUCUGCGUUCUCUGCUUUUUUAUUGCGGAGAACUAGUUACUUGGUGUAAGUAUUAUUUCAGCGACCCAAUGCUGUUAUCGGGGAUCUACUUACAUUGUUUUGCUGCAUUUCACUGGCCAGCAUGUGAAUCAACUACAACCUCAUACACCUAGUUCCCAAAUAAUGCAGAAAACAACACCAGAUGUUCUCAGUAACCUAACCCAGAAUAAUAAAUUAUUAAAACUUCCUAUAGGGAGCAGGGCAGAGGGGGGAGCUGUGCCUCCAAGGA